Molecule: transfer RNA, 71 nt
Filed under: Curtonida isos
Lineage: Eukaryota; Metazoa; Arthropoda; Malacostraca; Decapoda; Munididae
Description: Munida isos tRNA-Leu
Source: RNAcentral
GUUAUUUUAGCGAGUAUAAGACGCUCCAGGUUUAGGUCCUGAUAAUAUAGAGAAUGGGUCUAUAAAUAAUA